Small nuclear RNA from Hypanus sabinus (Atlantic stingray), 162 nucleotides. RefSeq annotates it as U1 spliceosomal RNA. Lineage: Eukaryota; Metazoa; Chordata; Chondrichthyes; Myliobatiformes; Dasyatidae. The record is from RefSeq and is a predicted model, not a curated record. The transcript has a single exon.
AGACUUACCUGGCAGGGAGCCAUUGGUGAUCAAGAGAGCUGAGGUUCCAGGACGAGGGUUUCCCAUUACAUGUCAGAUGUGCUGACGGCUGUGAUAUUCCCGAAUGCAGGGUGCUCGAUUGCAUAAUUUGUGGUAGUGAGGGACUGCAUUUGCAUUCUCCCC